RNAcentral lists this ribosomal RNA (440 nucleotides) under uncultured bacterium. RNAcentral's name for it is "bacterial SSU rRNA". It matches the Rfam family "Bacterial small subunit ribosomal RNA", at positions 954 to 1392 of the family's 1533-position model. The record is from RNAcentral.
GCAGAACGCGAAGAACCUUACCAGGACUUGACAUGGAGGGGACCGGACGAGAGAUCGUUCUUCUUCCGCAAGGAAGCCCCUCACACAGGUGCUGCAUGGCUGUCGUCAGCUCGUGUCGUGAGAUGUUGGGUUAAGUCCCGCAACGGGCGCAACCCUCGUUUCUAGUUGCCAUCAUUCAGUUGGGCACUCUAGAGAGACUGCCGCGAAUAACGCGGAGGAAGGUGGGGACGACGUCAAGUCAUCAUGGCCCUUACGUCCUGGGCUACACACGUGCUACAAUGGGCGUCACAGAGGGUCGCAAUAGCGUAAGCUGGAGCCAAUCCCCAAAAACGUCCUCAGUUCAGAUCGAGGUCUGCAACCCGACCUCGUGAAGGCGGAAUCGCUAGUAAUCGCGGAUCAGAACGCCGCGGUGAAUACGUUCCCGGGUCUUGUACACACCG